GUGCCAGCCGCCGCGGUAAUACCGGCAGCUCGAGUGAUGUCCAAUAUUAUUGGGCCUAAAGCGUCCGUAGCUGGCCGCGCAAGUCCGUCGGGAAAUCCACCUGCCCAACAGGUGGGCGUCCGGCGGAAACUGUGUGGCUUGGAACCGGAAGGCUCAGAGGGUGCGUCCGGGGUAGGAGUGAAAUCCCGUAAUCCUGGACGGACCGCCGGUGGCGAAAGCGCCUCAGGAGGACGGGCUCGACAGUAAGGGACGAAAGCCAGGGUCUCGAACCGGAUUAGAAACCCGUGUAGUCC
Molecule: ribosomal RNA, 293 nt
Filed under: uncultured bacterium
Lineage: Bacteria
Description: partial 16S ribosomal RNA
Rfam family: Archaeal small subunit ribosomal RNA
Source: RNAcentral